ACGUUUCACUCAACUUGUAAAGCGUAAAAUAAUUAAUGAUGACACUCUGUACCCGCUUAAUAUCUCUUUAUUCACUUCUGGCUGGUGGGCGGCGCUUCAAGGCAAGCUUAUAAAUUAAACAAAUAAACAACCAACCAGCAGCGAGAACGAAAGAGAAAAAUAAGAAACCUAAAACCAAAAAUAAAAUCUCCUAUAAGGGGAGAGAGGGGAAAAGGGUUUAAGCCAUGAACCUGUCGCUACGAUCGGAUCGGACCAACUUAAUCACUUUGCUGCCACGAAAAUAGUCGUAAUGCGAUGCUAAUGCAAAUGUCUGCUGCAUAAAUUAAUAAUUAUAAUAACAAUAAAACGAACCAUACCAAAUGGUUAAAGAGUCCGGUGGUCAUCGUCUCCGUCUACACCGUUUUCUAUAAUUCCACUUAAUGGCUAUUCGAAAUGGCCAGACACAGGUACCAAACAGCUUCUCCCACAAAUUCCCUGCAAACAAUGGUCAGCUAUUCAUUGAAUAACUUGAAGAAAAGAAACAAUUCCAUCUAUACAGCUGCGUUGACUCGUCAAUGAACCCACCAAAAAAGAUAUAACCGAAGAAUCCCGAGAAACCAAUCCCAAAAAACGCUUGCAAAAGUGUUGAGACCAUAUAUUUCGGACCACUUCCUCAGCUGAACUACUGGAAAGAUAUAAUAGGGGGUUGGGCUGGGUUCCCCCUUACAUUAUUUAUGACAAUAACUUUGCGACCGCACAUAAUUGAAUUACAUAUUGUUUGUUGUGACCACAAAAAAAAAAAAGUCAGGGAGUCGAGGGGAGUGGCCCCAAUAUGUUUGCGUGUUAAUUGUGUGGGCGUGAUGUAGAUGAAUUACCAGUGAUUUGUGGGUGAAUAAUUGCCGGGGGGACAGAAAAUCGAAGCAAUUGGCAAGACAACAUUUGGCCCAAAAAAUCCAAAGCAACGAUCGCAAUUAAUCAGCACAGAGAAGGGGGAAUAUAUAUAUAUAUAUAUAAACCAGCAAAAAGCAUAUUCAGCUUAAGUAGAAAAAGAGAGAUCCAUCCCCAGCUAUUGACUCAAGUGUCGUUUUAGACCACUGAAGUAGUAGUUGAAGAUCAACGUUGAACGUUGAACGUUGAAUGGUCCAGUACGGUCCGGUUCAACCACUUCAAGCUGCGUCUCUUGCUUUCCAUAAUUUAUAUCAAAUUAUACCCUUUAUUUUUCUGGGAAGCCAUCAUAGACUUUAGACUUCUAAUGUUAACUCAAGCAUGGAAAGAAAAAUCAUUUUAUAAGCCAUUAAUAUUAUUUAAAUGGAACUCAUCACACAAUAUAAUGUUUCCUAUCCAAAUCAAUCUUUAAAAUGCAUUAUUAAAUACAUUUGCAUUUAAAUUGCAAUUAAUAUUAAUGAAGCUUUAUGCCUCUUUUGACUUUUGCCAGAAAUCAAGUAGGAAAAGGGCUAUAAUACCUUUUUACAUGUAUUUUUAUAAAGAAAUUUAGUUAUCAACAUGCGAAUUAGGUUGAAAAGUUCAAUAUUAUAUUGCAAACAUUGUUAACUUCAAUA
This is a long non-coding RNA of Drosophila serrata, 1538 nucleotides long. RefSeq lists it as uncharacterized. NCBI's taxonomy places the organism in Eukaryota, Metazoa, Arthropoda, Insecta, Diptera, Drosophilidae. The record is from RefSeq and is a predicted model, not a curated record.